Molecule: ribosomal RNA, 390 nt
Filed under: Triticum aestivum (bread wheat)
Lineage: Eukaryota; Viridiplantae; Streptophyta; Magnoliopsida; Poales; Poaceae
Description: partial small subunit ribosomal RNA
Source: RNAcentral
AUGAAGCGGAACCAAGAAGAAGCGCGCGGCCACCUCCUCGCCGGGACCGCCUCCCGCCACGACGCUGCGGACGCGGAGGCGCCGGCGCCGAUCACCAAGGGAUGCGCGACGUUCUGGGUGGGCGCGGAGGAGGAGGGCGAGGCGCCGCGGCGGUUCGCGGUGCCGGUGGCGCUGCUCUGCCACCCCCUGAUCCUGGAGCUGCUCGGGGAGGCGCGGGACAAGUACGGGUACGCGCACGAAGGCGCCAUCGUCGUCCCCUGCGGCAUCGAGCGGUUCCAGAAGGCGGUCGACGCGGCGAGGGCCCAAGAACGGCACCGUCACCACCACCAUCAUCACUUCAGUCUUCCUCACCUUGCCGGGUGCUUUAGGCCCUCGCACGCUGUUGCUUAG